CCGAAUAAUAUAAGUUCAUUUAAAUGAAUACUCGCGAAAGUCUUAGAUCCCAUUAUGUCAGUACCAUUGUCUUUACAAAACAUUAAAGUAUAAACCAUUUUAUUAAUAUUAUUAUAUAAGGUAUCGUUUGAGACGAAAGUCAUAUAUAAAUCAUACUAUUUUAAAUUCAAUAAAAUGUUUAUAAUACACUGGUCAACAAUUUUGACCGAAUUUUUAUUUUCUAGAUGUCAAGGAACUGACGUUAGUUACCAAUUUCAACGGAGUGAAAAUCUCUAGACGUCAACCAGGACGUUGCUCUUUCUGUUCCAGUGCAAAAAAUCGAAAAACAAGAUACAAUUGUCGUAAUUGUCAAAUAUAUUUCUGCUUAGAGCACGCCACGAUGAUCUCUCGUCUGAUAACUAUGGAGACUGAUCGCCAGUGCCUGGUAUACCGUGGCUUCACGUUUUUCUUCCGUUAUACCAUCAAGACGGGUCAACGCUGGGUCUGCAGCAACUUCCCUCGCUGCAAAUCAUACCUCUGUGUCGACGAUAAAUUCUGCGUCAUAGAUUCCAAAACAAAACACAAUCAUUCACAAAAAAAACUAUACUUAUGUCCGAGUGGGAAAUAUAUAAAAGUAUAAACGAUAUACUAUUACGACUACAGAACAAUAAAGAAUAUUUUUUUCACUAAAAAAUCAUUCUUUUUUUUACCAAUAAAUUUUAGUUCAAACGUACAUAUAACGUUACAAAUAGCAAUUAGAUUAGAAGUUCUCAAAAGUUAAAAUUGUUUUUUUUUUUAUUAUCAAUAAAGCUCACCUGAUAACAAUGUCUACUGGGAGAAAGUCUUUAGUGUAUGGAGGAUACACGUUCUUCUUGAGGAGUAUACGACGCUCAGGACAGAGGUGGGUUUGCACCAACUUCCCAAGAUGCAAGUCAUAUCUCUGCGUCAAUGACUGGCUCUUCAUACUCCACUGCAGGACAGAUCACAACCACGCAAAGAAGAAGCUGCAAAUGUGCGCUAACGGCACAUAUGUUAAGAGAAAAAUUAAGUGAAUCACAGUGUAUUAUACGAUUACAAAUAUAUAUUAUGUUUCAACAUUU
Danaus plexippus (monarch butterfly) is the source of this 1079-nucleotide long non-coding RNA. RefSeq lists it as uncharacterized. The record is from RefSeq and is a predicted model, not a curated record. The transcript has 2 exons. NCBI's taxonomy places the organism in Eukaryota, Metazoa, Arthropoda, Insecta, Lepidoptera, Nymphalidae.